RNAcentral lists this ribosomal RNA (292 nucleotides) under uncultured bacterium. Its description in RNAcentral is "partial 16S ribosomal RNA". It matches the Rfam family "Bacterial small subunit ribosomal RNA", at positions 505 to 796 of the family's 1533-position model. The record is from RNAcentral.
GUGUCAGCCGCCGCGGUAAUACGUAGGUGGCAAGCGUUGUCCGGAUUUAUUGGGCGUAAAGAGCGCGCAGGCGGUCCGUUUAGUCCGAGGUGAAAUCUCCCGGCUCAACUGGGAGGGGUCUUCGGAUACUGGCGGACUUGAGGAGUGCAGAGGUGAGUGGAAUUCUCGGUGUAGUGGUGAAAUGCGUAGAUAUCGAGAGGAACACCAGUGGCGAAGGCGGCUCACUGGGCACCACCUGACGCUGAGGCGCGAAAGCGUGGGGAGCGAACCGGAUUAGAAACCCUCGUAGUCC